GUGGGGAAUUUUGGACAAUGGGCGCAAGCCUGAUCCAGCAAUGCCGCGUGCAGGAAGAAGGCCUUCGGGUUGUAAACUGCUUUUGUACGGAACGAAACGGUCCUGGCUAAUACCUGGGGCUAAUGACGGUACCGUAAGAAUAAGCACCGGCUAACUACGUGCCAGCAGCCGCGGUAAUACGUAGGGUGCGAGCGUUAAUCGGAAUUACUGGGCGUAAAGCGUGCGCAGGCGGUGCUGUAAGACAGGCGUGAAAUCCCCGGGCUCAACCUGGGAAUUGCGCUUGUGACUGCAGUGCUGGAGUGCGGCAGAGGGGGAUGGAAUUCCGCGUGUAGCAGUGAAAUGCGUAGAUAUGCGGAGGAACACCGAUGGCGAAGGCAAUCCCCUGGGCCUGCACUGACGCUCAUGCACGAAAGCGUGGGGAGCAAACAGGAUUAGAUACCCGAGUAGUCC
RNAcentral lists this ribosomal RNA (450 nucleotides) under uncultured bacterium. RNAcentral describes it as "partial 16S ribosomal RNA". It matches the Rfam family "Bacterial small subunit ribosomal RNA", at positions 354 to 796 of the family's 1533-position model. The record is from RNAcentral.